CACAUCUCCACGCUCCUUGAACCCCUCCAGGGAUGGUGACCCCACCACCCCAUGUCUGUACCAGUGCCUGACCAGCAUCAGUACAAGGACUUAUAUUUCUUUCCUCCUGCUGUUCUUAUAAUACACAUUAAUUCAGCAGACACAAGAUUCAACACGUAAGGAAAAUAACUUGUGGAUAUAUCUGCUUUGUGUUGAUUUUAUCUCCUAUUUUCAAGAUCUGAUUUUAAAGCCUUUUUGUUUUUUUACCUCAUGAAAUCAAAUAUAAAUACAGUUCCAAGAGCAAGAGUAUCCCUAAUUUUCAAAUGAUCAAAGAAACAAGCAGGAAAUGCACUAAAGGUUUCUCUGCAGCCUCUUAUCGUUAUUUACUUAGGGGACAAAAGGAGAAUCAGAGCAUGUUUGAUCCUCCAUGGCUGAGCAGCAGUCUGGCUUGUGUCACAUUGCUCUGCCCAUAGAAACAGAAGUGAGUCCAAGUAAAUCUCGGCCCGCAGAAGCACUGCCUGCAUUUCUUCCAUUUCAUUCCAUUGGUUUGGAAAAAAGCUGAAGAAACCCUGAAAGCCAUUUCACAAAAGGCAUUAAUCUCCUCCAUUCAUUUCGAGUCACCAGACAUCACAGACUGCUAUGCAGGUGACAGGGCUCUGCAAGAGGAGAUUUCUGAAAGGAGCUGUGGUGCUGGUCCUGCUGGUGCUGCUGGAUGGGACCAAAGUCAUGCACCCGGUGCUCAGCAGAGCAGGACAUGUCCUCCAUGGGCUCACUGCAAGCUGGUGCUCAUGGGAACAAAGGGUUCAGCAACUUUCUAUCAGGUCUGAAGCCUGCAAUAUCGAGAUAUGUGGCUCAUACAGGAGGGAGCUGUGUGGUUGAUUUAUCACCGUAAUGCAAACACGUGUAAGUCUCCAACAGCACGGUCCAGUGAAGCUGUAAAGCAGGAACACCGAGAGCGCCUUUGACUAAAUAAAAUAAGAUUAAAAUGUCA
RNAcentral lists this long non-coding RNA (970 nucleotides) under Phasianus colchicus (ring-necked pheasant). RNAcentral's name for it is "lncRNA (ENSPCLG00000015279.1)". Lineage: Eukaryota; Metazoa; Chordata; Aves; Galliformes; Phasianidae. The record is from RNAcentral.